UAAUGCCUAGGAAUCUGCCUGGUAGUGGGGGAUAACGUCCGGAAACGGGCGCUAAUACCGCAAACGUCCUACGGGAGAAAGCAGGGGACCUUCGGGCCUUGCGCUAUCAGAUGAGCCUAGGUCGGAUUAGCUUGUUGGUGAGGUAAUGGCUCACCAAGGCUGCGAUCCGUAACUGGUCUGAGAGGAUGAUCAGUCACACUGGAACUGAGACACGGUCCAGACUCCUACGGGAGGCAGCAGUGGGGAAUAUUGGACAAUGGGCGAAAGCCUGAUCCAGCCAUGCCGCGUGUGUGAAGAAGGUCUUCGGAUUGUAAAGCACUUUAAGUUGGGAGGAAGGGUUGUAGAUUAAUACUCUGCAAUUUUGACGUUACCAACAGAAUAAGCACCGGCUAACUUCGUGCCAGCAGCCGCGGUAAUACGAAGGGUGCAAGCGUUAAUCGGAAUUACUGGGCGUAAAGCGCGCGUAGGUGGUUUGUCAAGUUGGAAGUGAAAGCCCCGGGCUCAACCUGGGAACUGCUUUCAAAACUGGCAAGCUAGAGUAUGGCAGAGGGUGGUGGAAUUUCCUGUGUAGCGGUG
RNAcentral lists this ribosomal RNA (576 nucleotides) under Ectopseudomonas composti. Its description in RNAcentral is "bacterial SSU rRNA". It matches the Rfam family "Bacterial small subunit ribosomal RNA", at positions 111 to 683 of the family's 1533-position model. The record is from RNAcentral. Lineage: Bacteria; Pseudomonadati; Pseudomonadota; Gammaproteobacteria; Pseudomonadales; Pseudomonadaceae.